AUGGCUGGAACCCUGGCAGAGAGGAGCCUGGAGUGUCGAAAGAGGGGCAUCACAGAACAGAUGCAUCCUACAAACUGGAGGACUCCGAGCUUGGGGAAGAGACAGUUAAAGCUUCCCCGUGAGAGCGAGUUAUAUCAUGCAGCGCCAGUGCCAGGUCAGCAGUCUGGCUGGAGCUGGACCGGCUGGUGGCGCCAGGCAGUGCCAAGCACCCCUGGCAGCCCUGCAGAGGGUUCUCAAAUCCAGAUUUCAUUCUGCAGUCCCGGCAGUGCUUUGACGACUGCCUCACUAAAGGAAGCUAAAAGCUGUGCCGAUGCCUCCCAGACGAGCCUCGUUGGAAGCACAGAACCUUCACGACUCGGAGCCGCUGACACGGUGACAAAGGGAGCCCUGCUCAGAGAGGAUUAUUGGCAACUGGCACCACCCCCACGUCUGGAGGAGGGACGUUUCUAGGAUGACCCUCAGAGUGGAAAAAUAGCCGAGUGCUUUGGAGUCUUCUCAGAUCUGGAGGAGAACAGUUCCUGAGCUGCGCGGAGCAGUUCCGGAGCCCUGGCUGCCUUUCCCCGGGCCCAAGCCCCCAAGAAGAGAGUCCUUUUCAGGAGCAUGGGAGCAUGUUUUAAAAGGCUUUCUAUUGAAGCAAGGCCGUCAGCCAGCCGUGCGUGUCCGCAUUGUGGUGGUCCCAGAGCCUUAUGGACAAUCCCUUUGAAAGAAUAGGGUUGGGAAGAUUCUCAGGACAGAAGUGGCUAAUUUCCAUCCUUGGAGCUUUAUCUCACAAAGGAUAUUUGAUAGAAAGAAAAAAUGGAGUCUGUGGAAGCUUUGCUCCUAUUUCCAAAUGGGUUGACUCUGGAUGGAAAGGCAUAUUUUCACAUUUUUCCCAAUAGAGGAAAGCUUUUAGUGCCAAAAUCCUCAAAGGAGAAUGAACAUCACACAUCACACAUCACACAUGUAUGUGUAAGGGUAGAAUAAUAUGGUAAAAAAUCCAGUGAGUACAAGCACACAACGGACAUUCAGUGCAGGUUAAAUGGAUAAGUAAGAAAAAUUCAAAGUUGUUAUUGCUGUUUAUGAGACUGGUGAUUAUUAACAGAUGCAAAUGUAUACUCCCUUUUGUAAUCACAACAAUGUAAAAGUCUUAUCUGUAAUCAUUACCAUGGGGACACUUAAAUAUUUAGUCCUGGGGACAAAAUGGUUUGUAGGCAGGACGUCCUGUGUGUUUAUGUGCACAUAUAAAAUGCAGCCCUGGCCCCAGGACUGCAAGGCCUCUGACGGCAUCAUUUACAUUCAGGGGUGGUCCUGAUCAACAUGGCCCCAUAGAAUAAUAGAGGGAAUUUCAGAGAGUACAGUGUUAGAUAAUAAACGCUUUCCACAGACUCUGUUUAUAUGUGGAAAUUUGAAGUGCUGAGUGAAAAAGAAUAGUGAAAAUAAAGACAGGAAGUAUACACACAACAAACAAUUUUUCCUCUCUGCAAAUCAGAUUAUUCCCUUGCGCACCCUGCAACCCCCAUCUAUGAUGUCAAACUCAAUGGACGGUUGAACUAAUAGCUUGGGAGUCGCCAGGGUGACAGUGUGCGUGUCCAUGCUGUGCACCUUGAAUUAGGCUGGCCACCACGGCUGUGUACAGCUACCCCAGGAAGAGCCCCUCCCCUCCUCAUCGUUUCUGUGGAAAAUGUGCUGAUUGAGACCCGGCUACAGGAAUCACAUUUGGGCAGAAAGAAUGGUUUACCCUUUUCAUGAGGGGUCUUGACUCAAGAACACUUGCCAAUUCUGCUUGUCCAUUUCCCAUUCUUUACAGUUUUUCCUGUCACUCCUUAGAUUGAGAAAGAAAAAUCUAUAGGAAUGAUUCGGAGGGAUUUCUCUUUUGUUCGUAAAUAAACCCUAACCCUGGAUGAGCUCGUUCACACUAGGGAAGUUACCACCACUGGCUUUGAAGCCAGGCAGAUCUGGGUGUUCCUUCCCAUUUCUUUAUUUGCUUUGUGGGUGAUCUUUUCCCAGCUUUUCUGCUAUUUCAUCCUUGUUAGUGAGGGCUUCUUUAGCUGCAGAACAGGGGCGAUAAUGCCUACCUUGCUGGGUUGUAGUAGAGAAUGCUGUUUAUGCAGGAAAAUAAAAAAAAACACAUAGCACACAAUAGGAGCUUAAUACGUAAGAAUUAUACACAGUCUUUUGUGUAUAUAUCAAUGUAUUUCAUGUGCUUAAUAUUUAUUUAAAGCAAGUACAUUCUUUUGAAUUAAGCAUAAAAAGGUCAUAAAAUGCCAGAUAUGUGCUUAUUUGAAGUGUUUACGAAGCUUUGCAAUUGAUUUAAAAUAAGAUGAUAUAACAGGGUCUUAGCUCUGCCACUAAUUAGUUACACAAUCUUAGAUUAUGUCACUUCCCUGGGUCUCAGUUGUAAACAGUUGCUUCAUAAAUAAUUUUUGUUUUGCUGUCAUAAAUAAUCCAAAAUUAGGCAGUGAAAUAUGGAAGCUCCAUCGGUAGGGGCUUCUGUGAUGUUCAGGUCCUGGAGGGAAGUGUGAGCUGGCACCUCCACCUCCCUCCCUACCAGCGCCCUCCAGAAACACUGCUCACGGGAUGCAGGGGCGCUUCUCCUAUUUCUAUUUCACUUGGUCUAGAGGCCAGCCAGGCAGGAGUCGUCCUGUUCUUGGAUGCAAUGUGGCCCAGACCCAGGCUCCAGCAGCAGGUCUGACUGCAGCACUUUCUCCCUCGGGGUGGCUCCCAGUCCCUUGGAUUCCCAGUCAGGACUGCGGAGGGCCCAGUCUUCCUCACCACCAGGCCCCUCUCCUGGAAACUGUGAAAACCUUCCUCCAUUUCAGGCACUGGGAAUCAGCAUUAUUUGGCGUCUGCCUGGAUGUGUCACAGAUUUAUCCUGCAAAGUCUCUCCCCUCCUGACCUCAAAUGUUCCUGUCCCUACAACCAGACAGCAGGCCCCAGGGCCUCCAGGGCUCCUUCCAGUGCCUCCUUGUCAUCUUUUGAAUCAGAGCUCAUGAGGCCACCCGCACAGGCAGGCUGGAGAGGAAUGGCAAGAAGUUCACCGUCGGACAGUAGUGAGCAGAGCGACAGAGGCCCCCAGAGACUUCGCACAGCAGAAGAGGCCAACUCCCGCAUUUGCAGGGGACGUGAAAGAGCAAUACUGUGAGGAACAAAAGGAAGCCUCGUCUCUGGAAGCCGGGAGGAAAAACAGUCGGUGUAGACAACAGCGGCAGGGACCAGAGCUGACCAGAAGGCCGGGUCCCAGCAACAAUUACAGACAGGCAGCAGCUGAGGCCCCUUCCCUGAGAGCCAUUUCAAUUGCACAGUGGCCACAGAAGGCUGCAUUGGCCCGGCAGCCAGCUCUGCGAGCCAUUUGUCCACAAGGAAAAUAAUAGCCCCAGCCUCAUUGCUUUGGGCUGCAGGGAGGACAAUGACCCACCAUGAAAAGAGUUAAAAAGAUUCUGGGGAAGGGGAAAGGCAGGCCCACACGGUGGCAAUUCAAGAUCUUUUGGAUGCCGUGAGCGUGUUCUUUAAUUAAGCCCCUCUUCUUCAGCUCAUCCUGCAGAAACGCACCUGCUUCCCAUCUGCCAUCCAAAACGGCGAGCACAAGAAUGACUUCACACUGUCACUUUCAGAGUUCCGCUGUGGCCCACAGUGAUUUUUCAAGAAAGGCAGCCACAGACUCACUCGCUCUUUCUCUUUCUCCCUUGCUCUGAAAGAUUCUAUAAAAAUCGCAUUAAAAAGUGUGUGAGCCGAGCAAUUUCAUUUACCAAAGGAAGAAGGUCAUACAUAGCAUUCAUUCUAAGAAUAUCAGGCACACGGCCAGCCCUGGACACAAGGCAUGAAGACCAGAGGCCCCUUUAUUGACCUAAUCUCUAUUUUCUCACCCAAACUACAUCUGUGGCUGAAAGCUGGAACACACAAUAUUUCCCUCUACCAAAAUGAUUUUAUUUCCUGCAGCAGCAUGUAACAAACAAUUAAGGGUGGUGACAUGGGCUUCUGUCAUUUUCCGAACAACCCAGUUCUGUUUGGCGUUACUGCAGUGGUUGUUAUUUUAGGUGGUUCAGUGCUUAUUCCAUUCUGCCCGUUGGUCCCAUUCGCAUGGAUCUGCAGCAAGCAUGAGCCCAUGCCCUGUCUUCUACCACCCUGGAAAUCAUGUUACUGCCAGUACUGUGUUGGGGCCUUGCUUGAGGUCCUGUCCCCUGCCCUCUUCACAGAUGCUGCUGUGCCUUCAUGGAGAGGACUGAAUGGGCUGUUUCCCUCUCCCACCUGUGUCUGCUGUCUCCAAAACUAAAGGAGGCUGCAGUGAAACCAGCCUGGCCCAGGUUCCUCUGGUGCCUGUUGUGGCUCAAACUAUCCAAACUACAGUGGCUGAUUCCCAGCGACCCAUCCCUUUGUACCCUUGUGCCCCGUUGAAGAAGUGGCCUAUGUUAUGAAUAGGGAAGCUAAGGUCGUUAACAAUAUGUGCAGACGUACAAAGAAGGUGCAAGUCAGAGAUCCUUGUCUCAGCUACUUCUCUUGAAAAAUGACUCCAUGCCCUGAGAUGCUCUAAAUGGAACAAACAGUGUGAAGUGGUUCUCCCCCUCCAAGAAACUGCCCCCCGAGGUGUUCCCCCAUCAGACACCUGCUCCUCCAAGCCUGGUCUUCUCUCUGCAUCCACUUCCCUAUGCCUCCACCACCCACCGUGCUUGCCUCCUUGUCACACACAUGAUCUCUGGUCCUGCCUUGCACUUGGUGCUGGGGGCUGCGAUUCCCUCUGCCUCUGUCUCCUGACAUCAUCCCUGACAUCAUCUUUCACCGUGCACUGGUCUCGCUUCCUCAGGAGCUCUGUGGAUGGCCUUGUUCUCUGAUUAUUUGAUUAUUCCAUCAACCCAGGUGCUCAGCUUUCUGGCCCUAGGGCUGGAAAGGCCAGUCAUUUUUAUUACAUCAUUUUGAUUAUUCAGAUGAAAGAUUCGCAGGCACAGAUUUGUUUCACGCCCCAAGAGAGAUACACAAUCUCGUGACUUUUGAAAAAUCUAUUCUUCUAAAAG
Long non-coding RNA from Papio anubis (olive baboon), 4985 nucleotides. Lineage: Eukaryota; Metazoa; Chordata; Mammalia; Primates; Cercopithecidae. The record is from Ensembl.